UGGUGGGUNGUCCGCACGAGCGCACCCCUAUCCUUAUUUGCCAGCACGUAAUGGUGGGAACUCUNNGNAGACUGCCGGUGAUAAACCGGAGGAAGGUGGGGACGACGUCAAGUCAUCAUGGCCCUUACGAGUAGGGCUACACACGUGCUACAAUGGCGUAUACAGAGGGUUGCAAAGCCGCGAGGUGGAGCUAAUCUCACAAAGUACGUCGUANUCCGGAUCGGAGUCUGCAACUCGACUCCGUGAAGUCGGAAUCGCUAGUAAUCGUGGAUCAGAAUGCCACGGUGAAUACGUUCCCGGGCCUUGUACACACCGCCCGUCACACCAUGGGAGUGGGCUGCAAAAGAAGUGGGUAGUUUAACCUUCGGGAGAACGCUCACCACUUUGUGGUUCAUGACUGGGGUGAAGUCGUAACAAGGUAGCCCUAGGGGAACCUGGGGCUGGAUCACCUCCUU
This 455-nucleotide ribosomal RNA is filed under the name uncultured Shewanellaceae bacterium. RNAcentral's name for it is "bacterial SSU rRNA". It matches the Rfam family "Bacterial small subunit ribosomal RNA", at positions 1073 to 1532 of the family's 1533-position model. Lineage: Bacteria; Pseudomonadati; Pseudomonadota; Gammaproteobacteria; Alteromonadales; Shewanellaceae. The record is from RNAcentral.